UUUUUUUUUUUUUUUUUUUUACCAUUCCUAUUUUUUAUGCAGCCUCACUGGGCUCCUUACUGUGUUUGUAGAACAGAUCAAGCAUGCUCCUACUUCAGUGAGUCUAUACUUGCUGUUUCUUCCCUCUCUUGAAAAUCUUCCCCCUAAUCAUUCAUAUGACUUGUGUCUACACCAUAUUUAAUUUUCUGUUCAAGGUCAUUUCCUCCAACCACCCUAUCAAAAAAUGCUUUCCUUCUUUUUCUCUCUUUAUCCUACUGUACUUUUAUUUGGUGUAGGUAUUGUUUGAGUUAUAUUUCUAAUGCCCCACUUAUAUUAGCACUGUGGAACCUCCAUUAAGGUGUAUGUAUCAUUUUAUAUACAAUUUCUACUAUGUUCAGUUCUUCAACACAAAUUGGCAAAAUAAUUAAAAAUGAUUACACAUACUUUCUUGGAAAGAAAAAAAAUUGACAUAGAAAACUGACAUUUUAAGACAAUGUUACCAAUUUUUCUUAAAUCUCUCCAGUCCUAGGUGCUUUGAUUAGCAAAUACUCUCUUUUGACAUGCAUGCAGUCUUUUAAAGAACAUGGAUUCAAUCUGUGUUUUGUUUUUGAAAACUGAUAUGUAAUUGAGCCAGAGACAGUUGGAAACAAAAAACUUUCUAAAGAUCAGCGGGUAAGACUCCUAGUAAGAUCAAGAAAAUACUCAAGAAGAGAAGCGUUCCUUUGAAUCCUUGACUGGGUGUGUAGACAUCAUCAUGCCCUUUGGGAGCUACCUCUGGCCCACCUAGCAGCAAUUUCAAUCCUGGGCCCCAUCUCAUCUACCACACGGGAGGGGCCUAACCAAAUCUUAAGAAUAAUAAUAUACCAUCCAAGGGGAGCUGUAGCUUCAACUUUCCUCAACUCAUAGCAGUAACCCUACUGGGAUCCUAUGCUGAGAAAACUUUCCUCUGCAGAGACUGCUGGCCUAGGGGUCCUAGGGCUCUCUGACCUCUGGGCCCAGCCAAGACAAGCUGUGGUCUCAGUUUCAUUGUGUUGCUGAGACUUUACCUCUGGUGACAGACUUGCCAUUUAUUUUGAGAAAAACACUUUAUUUAUUUUGAGAAAAACACAAAAGCCUGGGGCCUUUUGGUCAGGCAAAUUGCAUAGAUGCAUCUAAUAUCUUAUUUUAAAAGAAAAAGGUUAAAAUUGUUAAGACGAGAGAGAGAGAGAGAGAGAGAGAGAAGAGAGAGAGAGAAUCUUUCAUUCCCCCACUCCCCACCCCCUGGAUUUAGUAAGUGGGACAGGUUUUGGUGCUGUAACCAGGGAAUCAAAGUAUCAAGGAACUUCUUCUGUCUUCCCACUCUGCUUUAGUCUUCAUCCUAAACCAAGCAAUUACCAUGAAGCAGCAAAGGUUGUCUUCAUGAUGUCUAGACAUUAUCUUAAUAUACUCAAAUAGAUGAUUGAAGGGAAAAAAAGAGCUUUGGGACAUACAUUCUCUAUAUUACUUAUUUCAUCUGUGUUCCCAAGAAAACAUGGGCCUCAAUUUUGGCUUUGGGAUCCAGGGACUGAAUUUAAGUUAAGUAUAUAAUGUUACUUAAAUUUAGUUUCUUAAUAAUGAAAAUUUUGGUGUUGGUAUGUUUUUGUUUUUGUUUUUGUUUUUCCACACUCUGAAUUGCUCAGAAAGUUUAGUUUAAUGAAUUAUCAUGGCUGUUUACUCCUGAUAUGGUUGUUGACUAUUGAUAGUUAAAAAAAAAUUAAAAACAUGACCUAUUAGGACUUAUAUAAUUAUGGGGUCAGCAGGAGCCCCACUUUUUGCCUGCCUCUGAUCUUAUUUGCUUUUUCUCUCUCCUACGUGCAUCACAGUAGAUAUUUAUCUAUCUAAGGCAAAAGAAUAUUUAAAUUAAUAGUAGCAAAAUCAUCUCUGGGGAAACAAUAAGAUAAAUGAUUUUGCAUGUGUGAUAGAACAAAAUAAGUGGUAGAGAGUGGAUUUGACCUUUAUUCCUCUGCAUAUGCAUGAUAAAAAGAGGAGAAAAGAGGUAAGUUUUCAUUGCAUGCUCUUCACAAAAAUAAAAUAAAUAAAUAAGUGGCUAACUCCUGUACAAUUUGUAUUGCCAUAGUUAAAAUAUAUUUAAUUAUAAUUUUCAUAAAACUAAUACAUAAUUCUGCAAUGUUGUAUGCUAAAUUUCUGAAGGUCCCAUGCUUAUAAGCACAAUUUAAAAUGUAAGCUGAAUGUCAAGUGGAGUUCCUGUUCUUCAUUUUAGUUUUAUGAAAUUGGAAUUUCAAUACAAUUUAACAGGUAUGUGAGAUGGGCCUCUGAAUGCAAUACUAACUUUCAUGAUUCUUAUCUCAUUUUAUACUUUUUGUCUAACUCAUCUUUGUGACAUAACAGUGAAGAAUGGGGAAAGGAUGUCAAAAUUUUUACACGUUUUUAUUGAAACACAGUGUAAUGAACAGAGAGAAGAAGAGGAUGGAAUAUAGUCACAAAAUAAUAAUUUAACCUCUAUGUCUGAAAAACAUCCAGUCAGCAUUAUAAAUGUUAGCUUACAAAGAACAAUCAAUAUUAUUUCUUUUUCAGGAAUGUUAAAUAUAAAUAUUUAACAUUAAUAAAUAAUAUUAAAUAUUAAAUAAAUAUUGGUUCUUAUUAUUGUUUCUUAUUCAGAAGCACUAUUUUAAAUGACUAGCUUACUCAUUCAACAGGUUAAACUAAAUGAACAGUAAUCUGAGAAGAAUAACAUUGCUUGUUUUUUUUACCAGACACUAUACUGAAUAAUUUUCGACAUUACUUUUUUUCAUACAUUAAUUUAUUUGUUUCCAUUUGUAAAAGGCCAGGAAACAAUUGCGAGACAGUUGUAACACAGAAGCUAAGCACAGGCUUCAAAUCCUGCCUCUUCUAUUUACUUGCUGUGUGACCUUGGGCAUAGUACUUAACCUUUCUAUGUAUCACUCUGUAAAAUGGCUGCUUAUCUUACAGAGCAUUUGUCAGAAUUAAUAAAUUAAUAUAUGUGACUUGCUUAAAAGCAUGCUUGGGAAAUAAUAGAGCUCAACAUAUGUCAAGAUAGUUACUAGGAAACGUGCUCAGCAUGGCAUUAAGAUGCAUAGUUGGGAGUUAAUAGAUUUGUCUGAGUCUAGAAUUCAAGGCUUUACUUCCCCUCCCGAAAAAGACUUUUUAUCUCAUAGCAUGUAUUUUAUCUAUAUGGGUAAAACAGCAGUAAAACUAGGUAGGAUUUAGAAAUUGUUUGUAAAAUUAUAUUUCUUUAAAUGAAAUUCAAGAAUAGCUUGCAGUUGAUAUAUAUGAUCAUAUAUGAUCACAUUUUUUUUUUCUCUCCAGGGGCAAGCUGCUGAAUAGACUAAAGGACUAGACUUAUAAUUACUACUAUAUAUUAUUAUUAAUUAGAACAUAAUGCAUUACUCUGAAUAGAGUAACUAUUCAGUGGAUUCUUCUAUUUCUAUCUAAAGCACACCUUUACUCAGACAAUGAUUCAAGAAAUGUCUUAACUGGUACCCUUUUCUAUUUAUGAUACUGGUUCAUUUUUGAAAUUGAUUUUGUAUGUCUCUUAAUAUUCAUGAGUGAGUAUAUAUCUGUAUUUAUUUAUUCUUGAUAUAAACGGACAGUUUCCAGGCUCACCUUCAUGGUAUGAUUUGGAGUAAGAGAGGAAUUCAAUGCUCAUAAUCAACAGUCAAAGAGUAUAUUCAUUUAGUGCCUCCCAAAGGCUCAGUAUUAGUGCUUGGUUGAUUUUAGAAACUGGGUUGAAAGGCAGGCAUUUAAGAAUUCAUCUAGAGGCACUUGAAGGGCUCAGUGGGUUAAGUGGUUAAGUGUCUGCCUUUGGCUCAGGUCAUGAUCUCAGGGUCCUGGGACCAGGCCCGGUGUGGGCUCUCUGUUCAGUGGGAAGUCUGCCCUGGCCCCCCACCCCCGCACCCCCACUGCCGUUCCUGUGUGUGCUCACUUUCUCUCAAAUAAAUAAAUACAAUCCUUUUUAAAAAAAGAUUUCAUCUAUACUCUUUUUGAAAUGUGAUCACUCUUCUAUUUGGAGUUUCUAGUUUCAGAGACUUCCUCAAGAGACCAAUUUGAUUUUAAUAUUGCGUACAAGGAUGGUACCACCAUUUAUUGGUCACUAUGUUAAACUCCUUGUUUGCAUUUUGUUACUUAAUCCCUUCACUGUAGUUUCUGCUGUUAUUGUUCACAACUUACAGAGAAGAAAAUGGAGGUCACAAAGAUGAUGUUACCUGUUCAGGGUCACACAGCCAUGAGUAUAUUGAAGAGCCAGAAUGAAAUUCAGGUUGUCUGAUUCCACCUACCCACAGCAGUCAGAACUCUGAUUGCUGCUUCCAUCCACUACCUUGAAUUGUCUUCUUUAUCCUGGGCUGAAAACUAAAAGUUUUAAAUUUUAUUUACCUGCAUUUAGCCUAGACUCAUUCCUUGCAGGGUUUGGACAACCCAGUCUUCAUUUUCCACUUAAAUAGAAAAAGUCUAUGGCUCUACAUAUCAUCAUAUUUUUGGCCAGUGUUAGUUUCUUAUACAUGUACUUUGAUGUGUGAUAAAUUAAUAUAUCUCCUGCAUAAAGUCAUGCACCCUCUUUCUAAAGGACUUGCCAUUUUAGAGGGGCAAAAGGCAGGCAGCCCGGGUGGCCCAGAGGUUUAGUGCUGCCUUCAGCCUGGGGCAUGAUCCUGGAGUCCUGGGAUCGAGUCCCACAUCGGGCUCCCUGCAUGGAGCCUGCUUCUCUGCCUGUGCCUGUGUCUUUGCCUCUCUCUCUCUCUGUGCCUCUUAUGAAUAAAUAAAAUAAAAUAUUUUUUUUAAAAAAAGGCAAUGAUUUGCCUAUUCCUUAGAAAACUGUUGCUAUCCAAAAUUAACAAACCCUUUCAAGAUGGCUAUUUGAUAUUUGCUAAAACAAUAUAAAAUUUCAUUUAACAUCUGUAGUUCAAAACCAUAAUGUAGCAUAUACAUAUAUUCUUUAUCUUUCAAUAAUUGUGGCUAGCAUGCAUAUAUUUCAGGCUAAAGUAAUAUGAGAAAUGUCAAAUAGAUCCAUAUCAAUCCUUUGGCAUAGAGAAAACUUUUUUUUAUUUUAUUUUUUUUUUUUUUAGAAAACUCCUUUUUAAAUGUGCUUAAACUUCUAAAGAGGAACUCCUUGUCAGCCAAGAUUACAUCAAUAAAACUUUCAAAGACAUAAUCUCUUUGGGAAAGAGCUCAUUUUUAAUCUUCAGUUGUGGUUCUGUUAACUCCCCCUGUUGAAAUAAAUUGAAGUGGUUACCACUUUUUUAUUGCCAAAAGGAAGUGGUUCUUAACCUUGGCUGUGUAUUUACAUUUCAUGGGGUAGAUUUAAAAAGUAAACUACUUUUGCCUGGACCCCAUGAGCAUAUGUAGUUCAUCAGAGGUGUAGUGGAGACAUAUCUCAUCCCAAGUGAUUCUCAUGUGCAGGUAGGGGUGAGAAGCAUGGGAAGAAGUCGAUGGGAUAGGAAAAGCCCCUUUUCUCCUCACUGGCACUAAAGUGCCACAGGAAUUUAUUCCCUUCUUGCUACUUUAUAUACCUUAAAACUACCUUUAAGAUUUUCCUCUAUCACAGAAUUCUUCCAGUAUCUUUCCAUUACAUUUGAAAAUACUGUAUAAUUUUAAGAUUAAGAAAGAAAUGCAGCAGGGCACCUGGGUGGCUUAGUGAUUGAAUAUCUGUCUUUGGCUCAGGUAGUGAUCCCAAGGGUCCUGGGAUGGAGUCCUACAUCAAGCUCCCCGCAGGGAAUCUGCUUCUCCCUCUGC
RNAcentral lists this long non-coding RNA (5703 nucleotides) under Canis lupus familiaris (dog). RNAcentral describes it as "lncRNA (ENSCAFG00000059415.1)". The record is from RNAcentral. Lineage: Eukaryota; Metazoa; Chordata; Mammalia; Carnivora; Canidae.